GGACCCGCACAAGUAGUGGAGCAUGUGGUUUAAUUCGAAGAUACGCGCAGAACCUUACCAACACUUGACAUGUUCGUCGCGACUCUAAGAGAUUAGAGUUUUCGGUUCGGCCGGACGAAACACAGGUGCUGCAUGGCUGUCGUCAGCUCGUGUCGUGAGAUGUUGGGUUAAGUCCCGCAACGAGCGCAACCCUCACUUUUAGUUGCCAUCAUUAAGUUGGGCACUCUGAAAGAACUGCCAGUGAUAAGCUGGAGGAAGGUGGGGAUGACGUCAAGUCCUCAUGGCCCUUACGUGUUGGGCUACACACGUGCUACAAUGGUCGGUACAGAGGGCAGCUACCCCGCGAGGGGAUGCAAAUCUCGAAAGCCGAUCUCAGUUCGGAUUGGAGUCUGCAACUCGACUCUAUGAAGCUGGAAUCGCUAGUAA
RNAcentral lists this ribosomal RNA (426 nucleotides) under uncultured bacterium. Its description in RNAcentral is "bacterial SSU rRNA". It matches the Rfam family "Bacterial small subunit ribosomal RNA", at positions 917 to 1341 of the family's 1533-position model. The record is from RNAcentral.